UACAGAGGUCCCAAGCGUUGUUCGGAUUCACUGGGCGUAAAGGGUGCGUAGGCGGUCGGGUAAGUCUGGCGUGAAAUCUCCAAGCCUAACUUGGAAACUGCGUUGGAUACUAUCCGGCUCGAGGAAUGGAGGGGAGACUGGAAUACUUGGUGUAGCAGUGAAAUGCGUAGAUAUCAAGUGGAACACCAGUGGCGAAGGCGGCUCACUGGUCCGGUACUGACGCUGAGGUGCGAAAGCGUGGGGAGCAAACAGG
Molecule: ribosomal RNA, 253 nt
Filed under: uncultured bacterium
Lineage: Bacteria
Description: partial 16S ribosomal RNA
Rfam family: Bacterial small subunit ribosomal RNA
Source: RNAcentral